Molecule: ribosomal RNA, 899 nt
Filed under: uncultured bacterium
Lineage: Bacteria
Description: bacterial SSU rRNA
Rfam family: Bacterial small subunit ribosomal RNA
Source: RNAcentral
AGAGUUUGAUCCUGGCUCAGGAUGAACGCUACGGCUGGCGGGAGGCUCCAUACAUGCUAUGUCGAACGCCCCGCAAGGGGAGUGGCGAACGGGUGCGUAACACGUACGUAACCUGCCGCAGACUGAAGGAUAUACCAGAGAAAUUUGGGGCAAACCUUCAUGGCCCGUUUGGGGGGCAUCCCCUGAACGGUAAAAGAAAUGKUCUGCGAUGGGCUUGCGUUGCAUUAGAUAGUUGGUGAGGUAACGGCUCACCAAGUCCACGAUGCAUAGGGGGUCUGAGAGGAUGAUCCCCCACACGGGCACUGAGACACGGGCCCGACUCCUACGGGAGGCAGCAGUAGGGAAUAUUGGUCAAUGGGCGAAAGCCUGAACCAGCCAUCCCGCGUGCAGGAAGAAGGAGCUCUGCUCUGUAAACUGCUUUUGUCUGGAAAAAACAGCCCACCCGGUGGGAAAUGAUGGUACCAGACGAAUAAGCACCGGCCAACUACGUGCCAGCAGCCGCGGUAAUACGUAGGGUGCAAGCGUUACCCGGAAUCACUGGGUUUAAAGGGUGCGCAGGCGGACUUUCAAGUCCGGGGUUAAGACCUUCGCUCAACGAAGGAAAGGCCCCGGAGACUGACAGUCUGGAGACCGGUGGAGGUUGACGGAAUGAAAGGUGUAGCCGGUGAAAUGCGUAGAUAUCUUUCAGAACGCCGAUUGCGAAGGCAGUCAACUACGCCGGAUCUGACGCUCAGGCACGAAAGCGUGGGUAGCAAACAGGAUUAGAUACCCUGGUAGUCCACGCUGUAAACGAUGGAUACUCGAUGCACCGGUCGCAAGACUGGUGUGUCCCAGCGAAAGCGGUAAUAUCCCACCCUGGGAAGUACGCCGGCAACGGUGAAACUCAAAGGAAUUGACGG